Molecule: transfer RNA, 72 nt
Filed under: Chitinophaga agri
Lineage: Bacteria; Pseudomonadati; Bacteroidota; Chitinophagia; Chitinophagales; Chitinophagaceae
Rfam family: tRNA
About the family: Transfer RNA (tRNA) molecules are approximately 80 nucleotides in length. Their secondary structure includes four short double-helical elements and three loops (D, anti-codon, and T loops). Further hydrogen bonds mediate the characteristic L-shaped molecular structure. tRNAs have two regions of fundamental functional importance: the anti-codon, which is responsible for specific mRNA codon recognition, and the 3' end, to which the tRNAs corresponding amino acid is attached (by aminoacyl-tRNA synthetases). tRNAs cope with the degeneracy of the genetic code in two manners: having more than one tRNA (with a specific anti-codon) for a particular amino acid; and 'wobble' base-pairing, i.e. permitting non-standard base-pairing at the 3rd anti-codon position.
Source: Rfam by way of RNAcentral
GAAGGAGUAGUUAAAAUGGAAGAAUACUGACCUGCUAGUUCAGAGAUGUAGGUUCGAUGCCUACCUCCUUCC